AUUGUCAAGACUCAUUCGCAAUAUAGGAUGACCAUGGAAGUCCAAAUUUUUCUAUUUAACUAUGCACAGGGUCAAAGGGAAGAGUGUUAACCUGCCCUUCGCCACCUACAAGCGAUUGAUUAAAUCUUCUUUCUUAAAUGAUUUAGAAAAAGGGUAGGAUCUUAAGACAAAAUAGGUUCGGUUAGAUUCUUUUGGUAAUAAUAAGAAUCAGGGUAUUUAAAAUUGAAAGGGGCAGGCACUGUAAUCUCUUUUGAACCCCGUGAGAAACCAACACAAGCCAACCAGCGGGAAAGGAAAAGCUAUCAAUCACAAUAGGCGCGGGAGAAAAGGUCUUUUAGGGUAGUAAUAGUGGGCUUUGCUUCUUUCAGGUCUGGUUGCAAGCUUGGGAGUGGGAUUUCUAAGGAACUACAUUUAAUUGAUUUGCUUAUCGAAAUUAUGUUUAUGAACUAAACCUGCAUAUGUAUGUUAUGCUUUCCCUAAGGCAAUUAUAGUAGGUACCCCAAUAUAUGGGUAAAAAUAUCAAGAAAGAAGUGCAUUGCUGCCCGCAUUGAAUUUGAUUUGAAAAAAAAAGCUUUCCUCACCCUUUCUGGGAGAGACUCUGUUGGUUUAAAUUUGACCUAAAGGAGAGGUUUAGAAUAUACUCGACCAAUAGAGAGAGGAGAGAUAGGCCACUUCAAAAGAGCGACUACGUACCUCUCA
Molecule: long non-coding RNA, 699 nt
Filed under: Linum usitatissimum (flax)
Lineage: Eukaryota; Viridiplantae; Streptophyta; Magnoliopsida; Malpighiales; Linaceae
Description: long non-coding RNA (LUSI_LNC004808)
Source: RNAcentral